AUUCAAAGCACGCGAGACCUUACCAAAUCUUGACAUCCUCUGACCCCUCUAGAGAUAGAGUUUUCCCCUUCGGGGGACAGAGUGACGGGGGGUGCAUGGUUGUCGUCAGCUCGUGUCGGGAGAUGUUGGGUUAAGCCCCGCAACGAGCGCAACCCUUAAGCUUAGUUGCCAUCAUUAAGUGGGGCACUCUAAGUUGACUGCCGGAGACAAACCGGAGGAGGGGGGGGAUGACCUCAAAUCAUCGUGCCCCUUAUGAUUGGGGCUACACACGUGCUACAAGGGAAAAUACAAAGGGGAGCGAAACCGCGAGGUCAAGAAAAUCCCAUAAAGUUGUUCUCAGUUCGGAUUGGAGUCUGCAACUCGACUAUAUGAAGCUGGAAUCGCUAGUAAUCGUAAAUCAGCGUGCUACGGAGAAUACUUUCCGGGCUCUUGCACA
This 436-nucleotide ribosomal RNA is filed under the name Staphylococcus epidermidis. Its description in RNAcentral is "bacterial SSU rRNA". It matches the Rfam family "Bacterial small subunit ribosomal RNA", at positions 954 to 1387 of the family's 1533-position model. Lineage: Bacteria; Bacillati; Bacillota; Bacilli; Caryophanales; Staphylococcaceae. The record is from RNAcentral.